RNAcentral lists this unclassified non-coding RNA (263 nucleotides) under uncultured fungus. RNAcentral describes it as "sequence contains ITS1, 5.8S rRNA gene". The stretch from base 215 to 263 matches the Rfam family "5.8S ribosomal RNA", at positions 1 to 49 of the family's 154-position model. The record is from RNAcentral. Lineage: Eukaryota; Fungi.
UCUCCGUUGGUGAACCAGCGGAGGGAUCAUUAAAGAGUUGCAAAACUCCCAAAACCAUCGCGAACCUACCUCACCGUUGCUUCGGCGGGAGGCCGUGAGCCCUAGCCUCUAAGGCGGGGCGCCGCGGCCCCCGGCCCCACCCGGGGCGCCCGCCGGAGGUACCAAACCACACUGUUUUUUUAGGCAUCUCUGAGUACAAAACAAAAUAAGUCAAAACUUUCAACAACGGAUCUCUUGGCUCUGGCAUCGAUGAAGAACGCAGC